GACGUCUGAUGGCGUGUGUGACGUAGCGACGGCAGUUGCUCUGUUCCUCUCAGCGUGCGUUGCUGAGAGCCGAGCGAGGGCCUGGAGGGCAGACGCUGAGAGAGGGCGGCUUGGGGUACGCAGCCGGCAGAAACGUACAAUUGGCCUGGUUGCUGCCUUCCUUUGAAAACUGAUUUCUUUUGGACCGGUUCCUGAUCCCUCACGGAAGAUUACCCCGCCUCAAACUGCUGGCGUUUAUAGCCAAGAUGAACCACAGUACCAGCAAGCGCUGUAUUUAGCCGCUAUGUUUAUCACUGGUUACUAAAGUUUCUCAGAAGAUACGUGUUGUUGCAACGCAGGUAGCGCAGCAGUUCCUCACAGUAAUACGAGACGCCAGAGCUUCUCUGGAUCAGGAACCUGGGCAGGAGCACAGCCAGCACCAGGGAAGUAAGGUGCAGCACCGUUCUAGUUCUGAUGGGUGGUGAGUCACUCAGGCCUCGUAGGCUAACCAGCCUCUUCAGCAUGGCUACAUCUGGCUUCUGGAUGGGGCAUGAGUGUCUGGGGCCCCCCAAACCUCCAUCAUUCCUGGGAAUCCAUCAGGAAAGGCCGGUGGACAGUGCUGAAAGCACAGAACAGCAAGCCACGGCAACAGCAAAGGGCUGACACCAUCCACACUCUGCUGCCUCGUGGCACUUGCCCAUUCUUAGAUCACACCUGCUAUGGCCAGGCUUAAGGAGAGACCCAUCAGCCUCGUGCUGCCUUUUUAGCAGGGCGAUUCCCAGCCGUGGUUGGCAUAAAUGCAACCCUUCCAGAAGAGCUCCCCGACUUGGCUUUACCUUGCCAGCUCCCUGGGGAUGCUGCGCACUCCAAGCUCCUGGCAGGCUUUCUGCACCACAUCUGAAGCUUUCAGCCCUCUCAUCUCAGAUGAAGAGAGGUGAUUCUCUGGGAUGUUGUGCUGUCUGUGGCAGCUUCGACAAUGUCCUCUGCUCUGCCAUGGCCCAGAACUAAGCUCAUGACCAUAAGGUCUGUGACACUUUGGAGCAGGGGCCACAUGAUAGACCAGGACUCAGAGUCCAGGAAGUGGGUGUUGUCAAUGAAAAAUAUACCAACUUCCCCUCUAAGUACCUGAAAAAAGCAGGUGGUUCUGAGUGGAAUCUGGUGGAUUCUCGAGUGUCUUCUGGGGAGGACACGUAGCCUUUCUCUCCUUAGGACAAGGGGAUACUCAGAAGCCUCUCCUCAGCCACCUCCCUCUCCAGGAGUUUACCAAAUUUGUUUCUGCGAGACCGUAAAGUCUCCUCUAACAUCAGUUCCCCAGCAGAAGGAGGGAACUUGGGCAAAGUACUGUCCAGAAGACACCCCUCUCAGGUGAGAAGGGCCAUGACCCAGGUGCAUCGCCCUGCCAUCCCUCAAGCAGCUCCAGCGCGGAGCCCGCAGCCAGCCAGCACAGUUGUUUGGCUCCUCUGAGACAGGAGGAAGGAGACAUGCUCAUCUGUAGCACUCGUGUACAAGUCAGGUGGAACGCACUGGCCUGUUCAGCGCAACACAUCUUGCAAACCUUGUCUGUGAUGGGAAACUGUCCAGGAAAGACAGAGAGGAACAUUGCUGAGGGUCUGGGCAUACCUAUCCCCCAGAGCAAGACUGCAGAGCAAAAUGCCUCUGAUUUUGCAUGCGGCCAGCACCAGCCCCUCUUCAAUGCCAUUUCCAGGGUGCUGAACAAGACACAGGGCACAUGCAUGGCACAGGAGCACCCCACGCACAGGAAGACUCCUGGGCACAGGAAUCAGAGAGGUGGGGUACGAGCCCCGCAAAUCCCAGCCCUGAGCUGAGCUGCUCGCAGCAGAGCAUCCCAGCAGGACAGCCUCUCACUCUCACCUCAGCUAAGAAAACAUCGUUGAGCAGGCAGUAGCUGCUCUCUUCUGUUGUGCCUUCGAGCGUGGUCUGCAGAGUGCGCUGCCUGUCACUGCAAGUCUCACCAGCCUGGAGACCCAGCUCCCUGGCCACCAGCAGAUGGAUGGCAGAGAAGGAUUGCUUCAGGUUCUCCUCUGUCAGUUCCACAGCGAUGAUCUGCGGUGCAAAAGCAGAAGGCACUGAGAUCUAGAAUUGCCUCCCGGUAGCUCAAGCUUGCCUGGACAGCAGUGUUCGAUGGGUGAGCUGCCUGGUUCUUUCUGCAGAGGAAAGUGAGACUCUUCAGCCAUACACCUCCAAGUGCUUCUUGGAGAGGACCAAGCUUUCCACUCAUCGUAUAAGAAAGAGCCCCCAGGGAAGGCUGCAGGCCAGUCACUGGGAGGACUGACCAUGGCCCCUGCACCUCCGCAGCCCCAGCCAGGGUCACACUACACAUCCCCUGCAGAGGCACUCAGUGGGUUAAGAAGGAAGGCCUCAGAAGGUGGUGGGUCUGCAUCUGCCACCCAGCCCACAGCAAGACUUUUCUGCCCCAGCGCUCCUUCUGGAGAACAGCCAGAGGGCAAACAGCGCUUCUGAGAUGGGCCACCUUGCUUCCCCUCAGCUCCACAGCUGGAGCUCUUUCUGUCUCUUUCUGCUUGGCCCAGGGACAAAGGAGGAAUGCAGUGGUUCACAGAGCCAGCUGGAACUCUCUGAGGAGGCGGGUGCUGCUCGGAAGGGUCCGCAGCAGGCUUUUUUGGGAAGCUGCAGUGCAAGGGCUGGGCAGAGCGGCACCUUGACUGCACUGUUCCACAAACAGGUCGAGGGGCUGGGCUCAGGCCUUGUUCCUGGCCCCAUCGCCCAGAGGAGCCUGCCUCUGGCACCGAGGAGCUCCAUGCCCUGGUGAGGGCUCGCUCCAUCACGGUGACUGGCAGGUGGCACUUGGGGGGACUGUACCUGGCUGCCGUGGUUGUGCGUAGGCAAGGCUCUUCUCAGCUAACUGAGAACAUCUCUGCAUUCUUCCCCCGGCCAGCACGCUGCAAAACACAGGACCACUCUGCUGUGCUGUGGUGUUUGAAGAAACAGUUCAGGUACAGAAACACAGUUCAGCCCUGAGAAGUUUGGAGCGCACCAGCAGCUCUUCUUUUUCCACCCUGGUGGCUGAAACCGUCCAGCUCCUGAGAACAUCCCCUGGAUUCAGCCUGCAAGCUCUUUGCUACCGGCUCAGCAGCGUGGGGGAGAAGAGGCUGCACUCCCUAAGAGCUGGCUGGCUGCGCUGCUGCAGCUGUGCUCAGGGCUGACCCCAGCUGGUGCAACUUGAGGCCCUUCACAAGCCUUGCUGCCCUUCUUUGGACCUGCAAUAGGGAAGCUUUUGUAUUUACUAUAUUUACAUCUAUUUAUUGAUACAAAAUAAACAUUGUAUUAUUGA
Molecule: long non-coding RNA, 3289 nt
Organism: Gallus gallus (chicken)
Lineage: Eukaryota; Metazoa; Chordata; Aves; Galliformes; Phasianidae
Exons: 2
Source: RefSeq, a predicted model, not a curated record